CGUAUUUCGACACGAGGACAAACAGACCGAAGAUGAAGUUAUUCAUUUUUGUUGUGUUCAUGCUAUGUCUAGCCACACUGGCCUCAAGUAUCACUCAAACACAAUACGACUCUUAUGGAAAGUGCAUUAUGAUGGAACCA
Pecten maximus is the source of this 140-nucleotide long non-coding RNA. RefSeq lists it as uncharacterized. NCBI's taxonomy places the organism in Eukaryota, Metazoa, Mollusca, Bivalvia, Pectinida, Pectinidae. The record is from RefSeq and is a predicted model, not a curated record. The transcript has 3 exons.